UGCGUGUGUGUGUGUGUGUGUGUGUGUGUGUGUGUGUGUGUGUGUCUUGGUGACGGGAGGGGCCAGACUGACAAUCUCCCA
RNAcentral lists this microRNA precursor (81 nucleotides) under Pteropus vampyrus (large flying fox). RNAcentral describes it as "miRNA (ENSPVAG00000027284.1)". Lineage: Eukaryota; Metazoa; Chordata; Mammalia; Chiroptera; Pteropodidae. The record is from RNAcentral.